UACGUAGGGUGCGAGCGUUGUCCGGAAUUAUUGGGCGUAAAGGGCUCGUAGGCGGUCUGUCACGUCAGGAGUGAAAACUCGGGGCUCAACCCCGAGCCUGCUUCUGAUACGGGCAGACUGGAGGUAUGCAGGGGAGAACGGAAUUCCUGGUGUAGCGGUGAAAUGCGCAGAUAUCAGGAGGAACACCGGUGGCGAAGGCGGUUCUCUGGGCAUUACCUGACGUGAGGAGCGAAAGUGUGGGGAGCGAACAGG
This 252-nucleotide ribosomal RNA is filed under the name uncultured bacterium. Its description in RNAcentral is "partial 16S ribosomal RNA". It matches the Rfam family "Bacterial small subunit ribosomal RNA", at positions 524 to 776 of the family's 1533-position model. The record is from RNAcentral.